This is a long non-coding RNA of Nerophis ophidion (straightnose pipefish), 1767 nucleotides long. RefSeq lists it as uncharacterized. Lineage: Eukaryota; Metazoa; Chordata; Actinopteri; Syngnathiformes; Syngnathidae. The transcript is spliced from 2 exons. The record is from RefSeq and is a predicted model, not a curated record.
GCCGACACUGAUUCACGGCGAGCAACGUGCGCCACUUCCUCAUUUCUCAAGGCCGACAUUUCAAACGCCGAGCCGCCCCUCCUUUGGGAAGCGCACAGGUGGGACAGGGGUAAAAAGCUGGCACCAACCUCGUUUGUCCUCCAAGUCCUGGAGGAACUGUCUGUACGCCGCCGCAGAGCUCAUCCCUCCCCCCCACCUUGAGGGCCCAGUCCGGCCGGGGGACAGGCGAUUAGGACGCUCGGGUGGACGUGGGACAGCGGCGGGGCGAGCGGCGAGGUGUACACAGGCAGCAAGGUGAGCUGAAGAUCCACAUUGUCAAAGAAAAGCGGGGUAAUCCCUCAUUGCUGUCUCGCUUCUUCUCCUACACGUCUCAGCCUGGACCUACGAGUGCACAAAUGCCAGGACUGCUCUGCUGUUUUUUGUGACCAACGGCAAAACACCAGUCAAAGCUCCACUCUGUGACAGUAACACGGGAAGUAGGAACUGCAAAAAUAAAUCUCUAUGACAGCACUUCAGAAGGGCUCUGUUGUUUUUAAGGACACACUGCAAAAAUACUAAUCAAAGAUCCUCAACAUGACAAAUGCAUUUUGCAGUUCUUAAAUACUUACUCCAAAAAUAUGACUCACAAGUUUGAACUGAACUUGUGACUCGCUGUGAUGUCAUUCAUUGCCUGGAUUUGGCCCACAGGGCACAAGUUCUUCAUCUAGAACAUCAGCAGUGAGCAUUGUGUUAGAUACACAUGCAUAUAAAAGCAGUUUUAAAAAACUGUUCCAGGAUAGGAACGCUCCCUUCUUAUUGAGGUCUUAAUGCAUCAUUAUGCUUAUUAUUGCAUUCUUCUUCUCCAGAUUUUGGCACGUUCUACCUUCCAAAUUUUUCACCUGAUUCAAACCGUUCCAACUUCAAACUGCGAGCUUUCCCUUGACAAAUUUCAAACAUUCCCAGAUUUCCUGGACAUUUUUCCCAUUCAAAAUGAAUUGGCUAUUUUUCACACUUUACCAAUUUCCACAUUUUUCAACCAAUUCAAACAAUUCCACCAUUCUGGAAAAUCAACUCCCCUUUUUCCGAGUCCCAAAAAAUUCCAGGAUUUUCCAGAAUUCCUGGUUUUCCAAAGCCUUUUUUCUGGCGACUACUCCUCCCACAUAUGUCAACCCAUUUCAACCGUUCCACCGUCAAAACAUUCUUCUUAGUUAUGACAAAAAAAACAAAGUCUUUUUUUUGGAACUGGAAAAAUUCCCGGUUUUCCUGAAAUUCCAGGAGUUACGUAAUACCAUUUCUUAACUCGACAUGUUACUACUUCAACAUUUCUCGACCGAUUGAAAAAAUUUUAAGACUAACCAUUUCAACUCAUUCAGACCAUUACAGUUUAAUAACCAUUUUAAAAACAAUUCACGCUUUUCCCGAUAUUCCCCAAUUUUGGGGGAAAUUACCAUUCAACUCAGUGGGAUAUUGGACACAGUAUGUUGUCAAGAUUAUGAGAUGCAAUGCAAGUGCAAGCCACUGUGACACUAUUGUUUUUUUAAAUGUUUUUAUUGUAUAUAAAUGUCUUUAAUAAUGUCAAUGGGGGAUUUUCAAUCACAGCUAUGUUGAAAUUGUUAUUAAUAUUGAUACUUAAUAUUCAUUUUUGUCUGAUUGUUUUGUGUGUCCUCUCAAUUGCUCUGUUUAUUGCUAUUCUGAAUUGCUGGGUCGUAGUUUGGUUUUGGGAUUACAUUAUUAUGGUGUGGUUGUGUAUUGUUCUGUUGGAUUGAUUAAAAAGUUCCAAAAUUCCCA